UAGGGAAUCUUCCGCAAUGGACGCAAGUCUGACGGAGCAACGCCGCGUGAGUGAAGAAGGAUUUCGGUUCGUAAAACUCUGUUGUUAGAGAAGAACAGCGCAUAGAGUAACUGUUAUGCGUGUGACGGUAUCUAACCAGAAAGCCACGGCUAACUACGUGCCAGCAGCCGCGGUAAUACGUAGGUCCCGAGCGUUGUCCGGAUUUAUUGGGCGUAAAGCGAGCGCAGGCGGUUAGAUAAGUCUGAAGUUAAAGGCAGUGGCUCAACCAUUGUAGGCUUUGGAAACUGUUUAACUUGAGUGCAGAAGGGGAGAGUGGAAUUCCAUGUGUAGCGGUGAAAUGCGUAGAUAUAUGGAGGAACACCGGUGGCGAAAGCGGCUCUCUGGUCUGUAACUGACGAUGAGGCUCGAAAGCGUGGGGAGCGAACAGG
This 428-nucleotide ribosomal RNA is filed under the name Bacteroidota bacterium. RNAcentral describes it as "Bacteroidetes bacterium partial 16S ribosomal RNA". It matches the Rfam family "Bacterial small subunit ribosomal RNA", at positions 355 to 776 of the family's 1533-position model. The record is from RNAcentral. Lineage: Bacteria; Pseudomonadati; Bacteroidota.